RNAcentral lists this ribosomal RNA (397 nucleotides) under uncultured bacterium. RNAcentral's name for it is "partial 16S ribosomal RNA". It matches the Rfam family "Bacterial small subunit ribosomal RNA", at positions 523 to 918 of the family's 1533-position model. The record is from RNAcentral.
AUACGUAGGUGACAAGCGUUAUCCGGAUUUACUGGGCGUAAAGGGCGUGUAGGCGGUCUUGCAAGUCAGAAGUGAAAUUCCUGAGCUCAACUCGGGCGCUGCUUCUGAAACUGCAGGACUUGAGUGCUGGAGGGGAUAGCGGAAUUCCUAGUGGAGCGGUAAAAUGCGCAGAUAUUAGGAAGAACACCGGUGGCGAAGGCGGCUAUCUGGACAGUAACUGGCGCUGAGGCGCGAAAGCGUGGGGAGCAAACAGGAUUAGAUCCCCUGGUAGUCCACGCCGUAAACGAUGAAUACUAGGUGUAGGGGGUAUCGACUCCCUCUGUGCCGCAGUUAACACAAUAAGUAUUCCGCCUGGGGAGUACGGCCGCAAGGUUGAAACUCAAAUGAAUUGACGGGG